UACGUAGGGACCAAGCGUUGUUCGGAUUUACUGGGCGUAAAGGGCGCGUAGGCGGCAAUUCAAGUCAUCUGUGAAAUCUCCGGGCUUAACUCGGAACGGUCAGAUGAUACUGCUUUGCUAGAGUGCGGAAGGGGCAAUCGGAAUUCUUGGUGUAGCGGUGAAAUGCGUAGAUAUCGGGAGGAACACCAGUGGCGAAGGCGACUACCUGGCCUGUUCUUGACGCUGAGGCGCGAAAGCUAGGGGAGCAAACGGG
This 253-nucleotide ribosomal RNA is filed under the name uncultured bacterium. RNAcentral describes it as "partial 16S ribosomal RNA". It matches the Rfam family "Bacterial small subunit ribosomal RNA", at positions 524 to 776 of the family's 1533-position model. The record is from RNAcentral.